GCAGUCGAGCGGUAACAUUUCAAAGCUUGCUUUGAAGAUGACGAGCGGCGGACGGGUGAGUAAUGCUUGGGAAUAUGCCUUAUGGUGGGGGACAACAGUUGGAAACGACUGCUAAUACCGCAUAAUGUCUACGGACCAAAGGGGGGGAUCUUCGGACCUCUCGCCAUUUGAUUAGCCCAAGUGAGAUUAGCUAGUUGGUGAGGUAAUGGCUCACCAAGGCGACGAUCUCUAGCUGGUUUGAGAGGAUGAUCAGCCACACUGGGACUGAGACACGGCCCAGACUCCUACGGGAGGCAGCAGUGGGGAAUAUUGCACAAUGGGCGCAAGCCUGAUGCAGCCAUGCCGCGUGUGUGAAGAAGGCCUUCGGGUUGUAAAGCACUUUCAGUAAGGAGGAAAGGGAUGUAGUUAAUAGCUGCAUUCUGUGACGUUACUUACAGAAGAAGCACCGGCUAACUUCGUGCCAGCAGCCGCGGUAAUACGAGGGGUGCAAGCGUUAAUCGGAAUUACUGGGCGUAAAGCGUUCGUAGGCGGUUGAUUAAGCAAGAUGUGAAAGCCCAGGGCUCAACCUUGGAACUGCAUUUUGAACUGGUCAACUAGAGUACUGUAGAGGGUGGUGGAAUUUCC
Molecule: ribosomal RNA, 624 nt
Filed under: uncultured bacterium
Lineage: Bacteria
Description: bacterial SSU rRNA
Rfam family: Bacterial small subunit ribosomal RNA
Source: RNAcentral